This 7345-nucleotide long non-coding RNA is filed under the name Coffea arabica (coffee). RNAcentral's name for it is "long non-coding RNA (CARA_LNC006508)". The record is from RNAcentral. Lineage: Eukaryota; Viridiplantae; Streptophyta; Magnoliopsida; Gentianales; Rubiaceae.
UAAUAGAGGUGGAUAUCACAUUCAGUUUGAACUUUAAAAAGACAAAGACUACCAGUGAAACUGCAUACCCAGGUAAACUGCCCAUGAGAAUCAAUCACCAACCAGUAUCCAUAUUUCCAUGCAACAGAAGAGUUGGACAAAAGGUCAGGUCAGAAUUUAAAUGAGAGGUUCAGAUAGUGAUUUUUUAAAUGCUAAUAGAAACAAAUCUACAUGUACAUCUAUAUAGAUAAGCAGAAAAUAAAAACCUUGCUUUCCCUUUUUAUUUUGGUUUUGAUUCCAGGUGCUUUUAUCCCAAAGAUGAGCUUCAUAUCGUCCUGUCCAUCUAUGCCUAUGAGAAUAACAAAGACAACCUCACAAAUGUAAGAAUAUAAAUAAAGAAACACAAUCAACUGAUUCAAGGAUCUUCAGAACAGAAAAGCUCAGAGAGAACAAAAUCUACAAUUGCACCUGCAGAGCUUUUGCAGACUGUCAUGAGGAUUCUAACUUUUAGGAUGAUUACAGCAGUAUUAUUCAAUGUAAAGUUUAUUACUUGAGAUAAGUUUUGCUGAACAAUCCAAUAUCAGCAUAUUUUGAUUUUUAACAUCCAAAACCUACAUGUUCUCUAUUGAAGAUUUUAGAUUAAUUCAUAAUGCCAUCAUGAUUGGAAAAAAUCCACGUACAUGCACCACAUAACAAAGACAAAAACUAAAUAUAUUAGCUUUCAGGAAAAGUUGACUCGUUAAGUGUAGAAUUUCAUCCAUAAGCCAAGGUUUGAAACAGUAUGAGCUCAAAAAAAAAUUUUUUUUUUUUGGUUUUUUUGGGGGGGGGGGGGGAAGGGGGGGAAUGCGUAUGCAAUAAGGAGAUCAACUCCACCCAUCCAUUUCCCACUGAAUCUCUCCAGAUAGUGCAGAAAAGGCAUGAAGCUACUAGAUUUUGUCAACUCACAAUCAUCUUAGACAUGAAUUAAUGAUUCGCAAUAUGCAAGAUCCACUCUGUAUUUUAAAUAGAAAAAAUUGAUUAUCAAAUGCAGUGCCAAGGAUUGUACCAACAGAGUGCUCACUGAAUAAGAUGCUACUGACGUUGCAUCGUGGAAAUGGCAACAGUAUUGCUUUUCAAACAUAUAGAUAAAAUUAAAAUGGCAUAUGAGGUUUAACAGCUUGUGACAACCUGGUCAUCUGGUCUACUUUAGGUGUGGUAACCACAAAUGCACAUGCUUCAAACUGCCCAACAUCUUCAAGGAUGCCCAUUUACUAAAUUGUGUAUAAUAAACCCCUCCAAGAUGGGCAAGACUUUACACUGACAAAAAGACGUAUAUUCCCCACCCUCACAUCUCAGUCAUAGGCAACGGCAAAAACAAGUUAUGGAAGCAGCCAACUGCUAUCUUAACAGAUGCUGAGCAUCCACUGUGGCCUUUUGGCUGUGGCUAUUCUAAUAGCAAUUUCUGCAAAUAGAUUGUGUUCAUUGAACCAGCUGUAGAUCCCAUGGAAAAUGCAAUACUCAAAUGCAAGAUAUAUGCAUAUGCUCACUGCCAUAUUCUAUAUGGUGAUUCAAACAACUUAUUCACAUUCCUAUUUAAUAAAGUUACAAAAACAUCCUUAGUAUCCUAAACUCAACAAAAGAUAUCAAAGAUCAUUAAAAGACUUGUAGCCAACAGUAGAUGCUGGAAGCUACAAGAAACGAAAAUGGAUAGCUCCCUUUGACCAAAGCUUUUAUUAAAGAGUAUAUUCCAAUAUUAGGUUGCCAACAAGCUGUGCCUUUAUUGUCCACAUAAAACAUGUUGUAUCAUAAAAUCAUUGUACAACAUUAUGAGAUUACUUCAUUCAAUACUAAAUUGAAUUAUAAAACUGUUUGUAGACUUUUGCUAAGGCUGAAUCACAUGCUUCAUCCCUCUAUAGAUUCAUGUCAUAUCUCCAACUACAAAUCCUACCAAAAGAUUCCACAAUCCAAACUUUUAUCAUUGUUUUAAUGGACUAAAUGGAGAGAUGAAAAAGGAGAGCCAGAAAAAACUAGAAAUGAGAUAAGAGUAUACGGGCCAUUGAGGUACUAUUGAGAGAUGAGAAAGAAGAACCAGACAAAGAUAUAAAAUUUAUAUCCAAAUUCUUAUCUGGACCUCAUGAAAAUGAGAUGAUAUGUGGGUUACUGAAGUUCUCUUUUAAUUUAGGUGUCAAAAGAACUUAACUAAGUUUAAAAGAUAAUGGAUCACUUGCACCAAAUUUAUGUUUUUUCAAUUAUAGUAGUAUUAUUGAAUAUGAAUUUGUUGUCCAUUUACUUCAUAUUCCAUUAAGAUACAGAUGUAUGGAAACAAAAAGUUGGCAUUCACACCUACAGCUAAAGUAAGGAAUUCAUGGUUUCUUUUUGAUGUUAAUAAAGAGAGGAGAUGAAAGUUUCCUUCCUUAAAGUAGGAGUUACACAAGAUUGCUUCAUCAUUUUUUCUUUAACUUAAAAUACCUGCUUGAGUCAGAUCACCCCAUGAUUGGCGCCCAAUUGUUUUCUAACAAUGCUUAAUUUCAAGCUACCUUCUCUAUGUGAAAUGCAUCUCAAAAAGCUAAACAACAGCGCAUACUACUCAUCAGGAAAUAGACAUACAAACUUAACACAGAGAUUGAUAUCAUUUUCAGCUCAUCCUUAGCCAAAGAAUAGUUACAACAAGGUAAAGAACUGCACUAUCAUUGACUUAGUUGGCUACUAACUACUUAUGUCAUUAAUACUACCGGUAAGUUUCUGAAAUCUACAAAAUCAAAUCUUAACCAACUCGAAUAAUUUUAGUUAACACGACAAAUUCCUAUUCCCCCACCCCCCCCCCCACCAAAAACAAUUGUCUAACUGUCACUUUUUUUUUUGUUUUACUAAUAGAAAGAUUUCCAGAGACUUUAGUAGCUUCCUAGAAUAAAAAUAACCCUUUUUUUAUACUUCUUAUAAUCAAACAAACUUAACAAUAAGCUCUACAAAUUCAAAUAUAAACCUACAGCGAAAAAAUCAAUAAAAACUAGCAUUUCCCUAGAUACAGAUAUAGAACACACACCAUCAUGGAGUAACUCAACACUAGUUUAUACUACAUAGUACCUAGUCACGCCGCGAUAAAUAGAGCUACGUUUGCCGGCUGUGCAAGGGGCAUUUUGCUGAUGCGUUCUUUAGCAGUACAUCCUCUCUCUUUCUUAGCUUUCUUCAGCCCUCUAUACAUUGCCAGCUCAUCGCCGGCGCCGCCUCCUCCCGGUAUGGGUCCCACCAUCACUGCACCAGUAGCAGCAGCAGCUACAGCUUCAGACGUUUCCCCUCCUCCUCCUCCGCCGCCGCUGCUGCUGCAUCCGCCGGUUUCCACUUUUCCAGGAGGCGGUCGAGAGGAAGACGACGCCAUUAAAUAAUUUAGCUCAAAACACAAAAACAAGCCCCUAAAUAAGGAGAAAACAGAUCUAGAAAAGAGGAGAGUAUGAUUUGAUUGUUUUGGAGCGGAGGACAGCAGAAUCCCGCAAGCUAAUCUAAAUCUGCCGUGGGAUUUAAAAUUAUUCUUUGGUGGUUUGGAAUUUUGCGGGGAGUGAGUCCAACGGCUAUGACGCAAGGGUUUGAGAGUACUUCUGUUUUUGGGGAGAAACUGUGGCACGUUCUAUCAGCCUCCACCUGUCUGUUACGGCAGUGACAGUUUCAAAUGGUAAAUGGGCUAGACGAGUUGACAAAGUUUUUUUUUUUUUGUGACACGAUCAUUUUUAUUUUACACCUAUAUUAAAGAGAAAGGAUGGAUCUAAAAAAUUCAAUAGAGAGUUCUAAAAGGAUUGAACUGCCAUCAAACCAAACGCGUACCUCUACAUUUGCUAGUGAAUUUUUUGAGGAAAUUCUCUUGAUAACUAACUACUCUAAUCGUACUUAGGGUGCGUUUAAUAAAAUUGAGUCUAAAAAUUGAAAUCUGAAGUUUAAAUCUAUUAAAUUAUUGAAUUGUUAAGUAUUAAAUCUAAUACAUUUGAGCACAUAUUACACUCAGUGAUAAGUAAAUAGUUUAUUACUUAAUUUCGAAACUAAAUGUUGAAUUAAAUUAUUAAAUAGAGCCUUAGCUAGACUUAGUUAGAUAAAGUUGAAAUUCCUUGGCCGCGGGGGUAUCAUAUAAAUGUUGAAUACAAGGGGUGGGGUGGUUUUCCUAUGAGAUCAUUAUUGUGGGGAGAAAAGAGAAGAACUAUACACAAAAGUCAUAAACAUUUAUAGUAGUUAAGAAAGAUUUUUAACUUUUAGUGGAGGGGGGUCCCUACGGGCCCUCUACUGCCUCGAACAAUGAUGACAUCAAGUAACUCUAAUAUAACAAACAUGUAAGGUCGCGUGGCUAGUAUUUAUAUGUAUUGACAUUUUUGUUGUAAAAAUAUAUAUUUUUUUUCAAACGAUAAUUAUUAUAUAAUAUAUCUAUCAUAUAAAUUACAAGGAAGAGAGAGCCUAAAGAGAUUGUAUUUGAAGUUAUCAAGCUAAGAAAGGAUACUUGCCUAGCUAAACACAACCCACACAUUCUAUUCAUUGUCUAAUAAAACAUGAACAUUCUAUAGAAAAGGAAUGUGUUUCAAAAACUGAACUGUUUCCCUAAAUAUAUUACGUCAAGUGCAACUCAAAUAAGUAAUUGCCUCAAAAUCCUAUGCUCUGUUUGGAUGGGAGUGUUUUUCAAAAACUAGUUUUUCAAAUACAAUAAAAAUUUUUAAAAAGUACUCUAAAAGGUAAUCUAAAAAUUAGUUUAAAAUUUUAAAAAAUAUCUCAAAAUAUAUUCUAGAAAUUCUUCUACUCUUAAAUAUCCCAAAAUAUUUUCUAAAAAUAUUCCAAAAUAUACUCUAAAAACUCUGCUACAGCAAAAUUUUUCAAAAACAGCUAAAGAAAUCCUAGUUCUUGCAACUCAAAUAAGUAACUGCCUCAAAAUCCUACUUCUUCCAAGUUCUUGCUAAAGAAUCUUCAUGUGAAAGUUGCUGUAAAAUUCUUACUGUGUCUCAACGUCAAUAACAACUUUUUUGAGUGUGUUUCUUUCAGUUUUUACUUGAAGAGCCACCCGAAGAAUUAUGGAUACAGCAGUUCACCUAGAGGUAUUCUGCUGUAAUUGCAUUACAUAACCUUAGUGCUUUAAUUAGAAUCUUUUUCACAUAUCCAAAACCAAAAAUUAAAAAUUAAAAAACCUAUAGCAUGGACUAACAGGUUAGAGAUUGUAACUCACGCAAUUUUAGAAUGAAAAAGAUGAAGCUUCAGCAAAUGAAAACCAACCUCAGAAGUGCGUGAAGAUCCCACAGGAAGAACUGAAACAAGACUGGUCCAAAGAACAGGAUCAUUUAAGGAAUCAAUAGAGUUGUAGUUGGUCACAAGUGGAGCAGUUAGUAAGGGAGUUAGUGGGUAAACAUUUCUUGGAACGGGUAAUCCUCCAGUCAUCCCAAGUCCAGCUCCAACUCUCUCAUUUCCACCAUCAUGACUACAUUUUUCAACCCCCUUGCCGUAGUCCUUUUUGUUAAUAACAUUUUUAUCUUCAUUUUCAUCAUUCUCAUCUAUUGCUUUCUUCUUCAAUCCUUUUUCUUGUAAGCUCUUAAAUGCUGCGGAUUGUGACAAAAUGCUCAUAGCAGACACAGCACCUUUUCGGUGUUUUCCUUCUUGAGGCACACCCAAUCGUGGCAUCUCAUAGGGUUCAGUGGGCUUAGCUGUCAGUUCUACAGAUUUAAGUUCACUGCUCAUGUCUUCACCAGGGCGAUAUGAUGUUUCCUCUGAUGAUUUAGCGUGUGGAUCUACUUGACGUGGUUUAUUGGUCCCCCACCACUUGAUAUAAGUGGUCAAAUCAAACUUCCUAUCAAUGCAAAAGCCACCAAUAUAUUCAUUUUCUGCUGUUGCAUCAUCAGCUGCACCUGAUAGAGGAGAGGAAUGCCAAUAAUUUGGUAACCAAACCACAAACUAAAACCUAAGAAGUUUAAGUAGGCAGAACACUAUGAAACCUAUAGAUCUGUAGAAGAUUUUUUCCUAGUAACCCGAAAAUUUUUUUCUCCAAUGUCUAAAUUUAGUCACCAUAUCGAAUGCUGGUGAAGUAAUCAGCCCCAGAAAACUGACCAAAUUGUGGAUCCCAUCGGCUGCAUACACAAACAAACAAUAAAACAGAAGGAAAACAACAUUAAAAACACAUCCAAACAUGAGUAAAUACACACACACAAAUAUAUAUUAUAUACACCACUGAGAAACCAAUGAUGGCAAUCUCUGAUAACAUAAGCUUUCAGACAAUACAUUUGCCUCAAGCUAAAAAACAGUAACUUAUGGCUCACAUAAUACUAAAUAAAAGCCAAUGUCAAAAAUCUAGUUUAUGCAUUUGUACCUUGAAAGAGGACGAUAUUUGGAGACUCCUCUUGAGAAGCCACUACUCUUUCUGCAGAAAAGCAUGUCAUAAGGAGCAUGUCAUAAGGAACAUUACAAUUAUUCUAGUAUAACAUAUACAAGGUAUACAAACCUUCGAAGGGAUGCGAGAUAGUCUUCUCUUGAGAAAUUUUGCAUCUCUUCAAGGUCCCUUGUAUAGUCAGUAACCUAUACAGCAUAUGAAUAGGAAUGAUUCUCACAAGAAUAACUCCAGCAGUACAUGAUAUUGUGCUCUUAAAUGAAGGUCUCUAAAUGUACACUAUCAGAUUUGACAGGAAAAGAAGAGUAAAGCUAUUCUUCCUUUUCUUUUGGGAGAUGGGGAUUUUCCUUUUACAUUCAUUUAUAAGAAAACUAGUCCGUGGCGUCAUACUGGAAAAUUAAUGAGUGUUCCAGGGCCCCAGUAUUUCAAGGCAGCAAGAUCAUAUGCUCUGGCUGCUGCCUCCUCAUCAUCAUAUGCACCUAUAGGCAUCAUAUUUGUUAGUUAAUAGAGGUGGAUAUCACAUUCAGUUUGAACUUUAAAAAGACAAAGACUACCAGUGAAACUGCAUACCCAGGUAAACUGCCCAUGAGAAUCAAUCACCAACCAGUAUCCAUAUUUCCAUGCAACAGAAGAGUUGGACAAAAGGUCAGGUCAGAAUUUAAAUGAGAGGUUCAGAUAGUGAUUUUUUAAAUGCUAAUAGAAACAAAUCUACAUGUACAUCUAUAUAGAUAAGCAGAAAAUAAAAACCUUGCUUUCCCUUUUUAUUUUGGUUUUGAUUCCAGGUGCUUUUAUCCCAAAGAUGAGCUUCAUAUCGUCCUGUCCAUCUAUGCCUAUGAGAAUAACAAAGACAACCUCACAAAUGUAAGAAUAUAAAUAAAGAAACACAAUCAACUGAUUCAAGGAUCUUCAGAACAGAAAAGCUCAGAGAGAACAAAAUCUACAAUUGCACCUGCAGAGCUUUUGCAGACUGUCAUGAGGAUUCUAACUUUUAGGAUGAUUACAGCAGUAUUAUUCAAUGUAAAGUUUAUUACUUGAGAUAAGUUUUGC